Molecule: non-coding RNA, 560 nt
Organism: Ciona intestinalis (vase tunicate)
Lineage: Eukaryota; Metazoa; Chordata; Ascidiacea; Phlebobranchia; Cionidae
Source: RefSeq, a predicted model, not a curated record
AGCAGAGACAAACAUCCGGGCAUUCCGUAUCUUCACAGAUCAGCUCAGAUUCGUCUAACGUUGAUAUUUCGUUUCCACGAAGUGAUCGCGGAAAAUGGCAAGUGACGUCAUCCGUGACGUCAAUCACUACGUAUUCUUGUGAGAUUAACCAGAUAACCUUCGUAGAGUAGGAAAGCUAGAAAACGCUUCUUCGCCGAUAAAGUCAAGUUCCGGCAUCUUAUUUAAACUGAUCUCUUCCAAUAAAGAUUUAAAGUAAUGACGUCAUCAGGAAUGACGUCAGGAAUUUCGUCCAGGUCUUGGUACGAACAGUCAACCAGGCCAACUUCAACGUCGCAUUUACAAACGCCCAGACACGAGAGUCGUGGGAAUACGGUUAUAUAAUUCUGUAAAUUUUCCAUGUUUACUAUCAAAUGGGACGAUAAAAGAGAAUGAAAACAUGGAUCAUCUUAUACCAACUUUUACAAAUACACGUUGCUGUUUUCGUUCAACUAUUUCUUCAUUAUUUACGGCGUAUCCAUUAAUUCCAACAGCAAAAGCGGAAAGCAUAAAAACUAACCGUA